Lolium perenne is the source of this 1526-nucleotide non-coding RNA. NCBI's taxonomy places the organism in Eukaryota, Viridiplantae, Streptophyta, Magnoliopsida, Poales, Poaceae. The record is from RefSeq and is a predicted model, not a curated record.
AAUAUCCCCCAAUCAUUAUCCAAUCCCUAGCUCGUGCUCUCCCCAUUCCCGCCGCCACCUCCCACCUGCCAUCGCCACCGACCGCCGUACUCCCACCGUCGGGCCGCCACACUCCCACCAUCGGGCCGCCGCACUCCCACCGUCGGGCCGCCGCUCGCACCGUCGCGCCGUCGCACUCCAUAGAUCUGACGCUGUCGCCGCAGCUGGACCAUGCCGCACAUCUAACCUCUUCCUCGUGGCCGGGCGAGCAGGAGAGCAAGGGCAUCUAGGGUUGCCGUCUGAUCGAUGAGAGGAAGUGCAGGACCAUCUGUUGCCGUCAAGGAGUGCAGUCUCGUCCGAGGAUCUCUCCGGGUCCACGCUCGAGCGAGGAGAGCUCCAGCUCGUCGUCCGAGCAGAGCUCCAGCAAGACCAAUUCUUAGAAAGUGAGCAUGCUGAAUAUUUGUCCUCAGCUGGUCCUAUUACUAGGCAACAGAUUGAAAAGAAACGGCAUGACACUUUCCAUGAAUGGUUUAGGUUUCAUGUGGCACAAUUAGUUGAGACUGGGCAAGAUGUUCCUGAAGAAAUUAAGACUUUAGCUGCAGGGCCCUCAUUGAUUGCUAAGAGUUAUGGCAGUUACACUGUCAAUGGUUAUACUUUUCGUACAAAAGAAUAUGAUGAAGGUAGGCCUACCCAAUGCAGCGGCGUGGCGCUGGUUUCAAAGUCAUCAUCAUCCUCCACUAGAAAUAGUAUCUUCUAUGGUGUCAUUAGAGAAAUCAUUGAGCUAGACUACAAUCAAAAAGGGAAUAUAGUGCUCUUCAAGUGUGAUUGGUUUGACAACCGUGUGCAAGAUGAAGUGGCGCAUGUAAUUUAGGAAGCGGAGCUGUUGCAAAAAAGAGGAAGGAAGCAGAGGCCUUGCAGAAGAAAGAUGCUGAGAUGCGCAAAAAAGUCGCAGAGGGAAGAUGCAGUUACACAGAAAAACCAGCAGCAAUGGAAAGAAGUGAUCUUGUACAGCGUGUUUUUCGUGACCACACUAUCCCUGUGGAAAAAGCAACCAUUCUAUCAACUGACCGAAAGAAGAUGGUAGGGGGCAGGGAGCUAGGUCUUGAAUGUUGUGAAGUUGUCAUCAAGUACAUAAUCAAAAGGGAUGCUCUGCUACCUCGUCCUAUUGGCAAUAUCACUACCAUGGCACAAGCUCAAGGUAGAUCCAUUGUGAGGCUCCACAAGCAUAUGGAGGAAGCCAAAAAAAUCCACGGAUAAGCCUACCACAGCUCCAGAUCGAGAGCAGGUCAAUAGGAAUGGAAACUAGUUGGUACCAUGCAAGGUUGUGAUGACACUCUAGCAGGUGGCUGAAUUAGAGAUCUCGUUUUGUUCUCUUGCUGAUCUGUCUUAAAAAAACUAUGUAUCUUGCACUACUGAAGAUGUAUGCACUCUUGGUGGUCUAGCCGCCUCUAUUUUAUUUAUGUAUGUUGCACUGUACGUUGGUGGAUUGAUGUAUGCACUAUGUUGGAUCAGACUAUUAAUAUCUAUCUAUGUAUGAUUUCACACUA